This 2745-nucleotide ribosomal RNA is filed under the name Klebsiella pneumoniae. Its description in RNAcentral is "bacterial LSU rRNA". It matches the Rfam family "Bacterial large subunit ribosomal RNA". Lineage: Bacteria; Pseudomonadati; Pseudomonadota; Gammaproteobacteria; Enterobacterales; Enterobacteriaceae. The record is from RNAcentral.
UGAAUACAUAGGUUAACGAGGCGAACCGGGGGAACUGAAACAUCUAAGUACCCCGAGGAAAAGAAAUCAACCGAGAUUCCCCCAGUAGCGGCGAGCGAACGGGGAGCAGCCCAGAGUCUGAAUCAGCUUGUGUGUUAGUGGAACGGUCUGGAAAGUCCGACGGUACAGGGUGAUAGUCCCGUACACCAAAAUGCACAGGUUGUGAACUCGAAGAGUAGGGCGGGACACGUGGUAUCCUGUCUGAAUAUGGGGGGACCAUCCUCCAAGGCUAAAUACUCCUGACUGACCGAUAGUGAACCAGUACCGUGAGGGAAAGGCGAAAAGAACCCCGGCGAGGGGAGUGAAAAAGAACCUGAAACCGUGUACGUACAAGCAGUGGGAGCACCUUCGGGUGUGACUGCGUACCUUUUGUAUAAUGGGUCAGCGACUUAUAUUCUGUAGCAAGGUUAACCGUAUAGGGGAGCCGCAGGGAAACCGAGUCUUAACUGGGCGUUAAGUUGCAGGGUAUAGACCCGAAACCCGGUGAUCUAGCCAUGGGCAGGUUGAAGGUUGGGUAACACUAACUGGAGGACCGAACCGACUAAUGUUGAAAAAUUAGCGGAUGACUUGUGGCUGGGGGUGAAAGGCCAAUCAAACCGGGAGAUAGCUGGUUCUCCCCGAAAGCUAUUUAGGUAGCGCCUCGUGAACUCAUCUUCGGGGGUAGAGCACUGUUUCGGCUAGGGGGUCAUCCCGACUUACCAACCCGAUGCAAACUACGAAUACCGAAGAAUGUUAUCACGGGAGACACACGGCGGGUGCUAACGUCCGUCGUGAAGAGGGAAACAACCCAGACCGCCAGCUAAGGUCCCAAAGUCAUGGUUAAGUGGGAAACGAUGUGGGAAGGCACAGACAGCCAGGAUGUUGGCUUAGAAGCAGCCAUCAUUUAAAGAAAGCGUAAUAGCUCACUGGUCGAGUCGGCCUGCGCGGAAGAUGUAACGGGGCUAAACCAUGCACCGAAGCUGCGGCAGCGACACUAUGUGUUGUUGGGUAGGGGAGCGUUCUGUAAGCCUGCGAAGGUGUGCUGUGAGGCAUGCUGGAGGUAUCAGAAGUGCGAAUGCUGACAUAAGUAACGAUAAAGCGGGUGAAAAGCCCGCUCGCCGGAAGACCAAGGGUUCCUGUCCAACGUUAAUCGGGGCAGGGUGAGUCGACCCCUAAGGCGAGGCCGAAAGGCGUAGUCGAUGGGAAACAGGUUAAUAUUCCUGUACUUGGUGUUACUGCGAAGGGGGGACGGAGAAGGCUAUGUUAGCCGGGCGACGGUUGUCCCGGUUUAAGCAUGUAGGCUGAUUGUCCAGGCAAAUCCGGAUAAUCAAGGCUGAGGUGUGAUGACGAGGCACUACGGUGCUGAAGUAACAAAUGCCCUGCUUCCAGGAAAAGCCUCUAAGCAUCAGGUAACAUUAAAUCGUACCCCAAACCGACACAGGUGGUCAGGUAGAGAAUACCAAGGCGCUUGAGAGAACUCGGGUGAAGGAACUAGGCAAAAUGGUGCCGUAACUUCGGGAGAAGGCACGCUGGUGUGUAGGUGAAGUCCCUGCGGAUGGAGCUGAGACCAGUCGAAGAUACCAGCUGGCUGCAACUGUUUAUUAAAAACACAGCACUGUGCAAACACGAAAGUGGACGUAUACGGUGUGACGCCUGCCCGGUGCCGGAAGGUUAAUUGAUGGGGUUAUCCGUAAGGAGAAGCUCUUGAUCGAAGCCCCGGUAAACGGCGGCCGUAACUAUAACGGUCCUAAGGUAGCGAAAUUCCUUGUCGGGUAAGUUCCGACCUGCACGAAUGGCGUAAUGAUGGCCAGGCUGUCUCCACCCGAGACUCAGUGAAAUUGAACUCGCUGUGAAGAUGCAGUGUACCCGCGGCAAGACGGAAAGACCCCGUGAACCUUUACUAUAGCUUGACACUGAACAUUGAGCCUUGAUGUGUAGGAUAGGUGGGAGGCUUUGAAGCGUGGACGCCAGUCUGCGUGGAGCCAACCUUGAAAUACCACCCUUUAAUGUUUGAUGUUCUAACGUUGGCCCCUGACCGGGGUUGCGGACAGUGUCUGGUGGGUAGUUUGACUGGGGCGGUCUCCUCCCAAAGCGUAACGGAGGAGCACGAAGGUUAGCUAAUCCUGGUCGGACAUCAGGAGGUUAGUGCAAUGGCAUAAGCUAGCUUGACUGCGAGCGUGACGGCGCGAGCAGGUGCGAAAGCAGGUCAUAGUGAUCCGGUGGUUCUGAAUGGAAGGGCCAUCGCUCAACGGAUAAAAGGUACUCCGGGGAUAACAGGCUGAUACCGCCCAAGAGUUCAUAUCGACGGCGGUGUUUGGCACCUCGAUGUCGGCUCAUCACAUCCUGGGGCUGAAGUAGGUCCCAAGGGUAUGGCUGUUCGCCAUUUAAAGUGGUACGCGAGCUGGGUUUAGAACGUCGUGAGACAGUUCGGUCCCUAUCUGCCGUGGGCGCUGGAGAAUUGAGGGGGGCUGCUCCUAGUACGAGAGGACCGGAGUGGACGCAUCACUGGUGUUCGGGUUGUCAUGCCAAUGGCACUGCCCGGUAGCUAAAUGCGGAAGAGAUAAGUGCUGAAAGCAUCUAAGCACGAAACUUGCCCCGAGAUGAGUUCUCCCUGAGACUUUAAGUCUCCUGAAGGAACGUUAAAGACGAUGACGUUGAUAGGCCGGGUGUGUAAGCGCAGCGAUGCGUUGAGCUAACCGGUACUAAUGAACCGUGAGGCUUAACCUU